Molecule: small RNA, 868 nt
Filed under: Alternaria penicillata
Lineage: Eukaryota; Fungi; Ascomycota; Dothideomycetes; Pleosporales; Pleosporaceae
Description: eukaryotic LSU rRNA
Rfam family: Eukaryotic large subunit ribosomal RNA
Source: RNAcentral
GCGGAGGAAAAGAAACCAACAGGGAUUGCCCUAGUAACGGCGAGUGAAGCGGCAACAGCUCAAAUUUGAAAUCUGGCUCUUUUAGAGUCCGAGUUGUAAUUUGCAGAGGGCGCUUUGGCUUUGGCAGCGGUCCAAGUUCCUUGGAACAGGACGUCACAGAGGGUGAGAAUCCCGUACGUGGUCGCUGGCUAUUGCCGUGUAAAGCCCCUUCGACGAGUCGAGUUGUUUGGGAAUGCAGCUCUAAAUGGGAGGUACAUUUCUUCUAAAGCUAAAUAUUGGCCAGAGACCGAUAGCGCACAAGUAGAGUGAUCGAAAGAUGAAAAGCACUUUGGAAAGAGAGUCAAACAGCACGUGAAAUUGUUGAAAGGGAAGCGCUUGCAGCCAGACUUGCUUGCAGUUGCUCAUCCGGGCUUUUGCCCGGUGCACUCUUCUGUAGGCAGGCCAGCAUCAGUUUGGGCGGUGGGAUAAAGGUCUCUGUCACGUACCUCUCUUCGGGGAGGCCUUAUAGGGGAGACGACAUACCACCAGCCUGGACUGAGGUCCGCGCAUCUGCUAGGAUGCUGGCGUAAUGGCUGUAAGCGGCCCGUCUUGAAACACGGACCAAGGAGUCUAACAUCUAUGCGAGUGUUUGGGUGUCAAGCCCGAGCGCGUAAUGAAAGUGAACGGAGGUGGGAACCCGCAAGGGUGCACCAUCGACCGAUCCUGAUGUCUUCGGAAGGAUUUGAGUAAGAGCAUGGCUGUUGGGACCCGAAAGAUGGUGAACUAUGCUUGAAUAGGGUGAAGCCAGAGGAAACUCUGGUGGAGGCUCGCAGCGGUUCUGACGUGCAAAUCGAUCGUCAAAUUUGGGCAUAGGGGCGAAAGACUAAUC